Molecule: long non-coding RNA, 952 nt
Organism: Thalassophryne amazonica
Lineage: Eukaryota; Metazoa; Chordata; Actinopteri; Batrachoidiformes; Batrachoididae
Exons: 2
Source: RefSeq, a predicted model, not a curated record
UGAGCGAAUGCUUGUUAUUGUUAGUUACAUUUAUUGCUCAGCGGCAGCUGACGGUGGUGCGUUUCAGCCUCAGCUAGCCGGGGUUAGCUAGUUGUGACGGACAGAGAGGCGGUGAGAAGAAGAGACAAAAAGAAAAGAGAAAACCUUUUAUUUAAAUACUAAAAAAUGAAAAGGGGCUGCACCCUUUAAAAAAUAAAUUUAAUGACAUCUUUUAGGGUUAAAAGAAAGUGGAAGCAUAACAUUCUCUCAUUUUAAAUCAUUGGAAAUAUUAAUUUUGUGGGAUGGGCAAUGUUACCUCUCAGUUGCUUCAGAAUGGGAACAGUUGCUAAUCUGUGCUUGAAUGUCCAUCAAAAAAGCAACUCCAAAUCAUUUAAAAUGAUCUUCAGCUGCUACUUUGAGUCUUAAUUUGUGCACAUCUGAGCUUGUCUCUUAAACUGUGGGCAUUAUGGACAUGUUUACCAGUUACAUACUGAAAAAUGAACAGUUGGACUUGACUUUUCUUUGCAUUAAUGUGAACUCCCACCCACCCACAUUUUCCUGAAAUUUGGAAAUAUUCCAGUAUUGGUAUUUGGGUGGCAUGAGUGAUACAGAUGACAUGUUUUGUGUACAUGGCUGAUAGGAGUUGUGUGUCAUUCCUAAUUAGAAAGCAGCCAGUAGCGAUGUUUUUUGACUGCAGAUUCUGCAAAAACUGGUGAUGUGUGCUUUUUGUGCUCAUUUUUAAUCCAUAUUGCACCUAUUUGUAUUUUUUCCUGUUGAAUAUCUGUUCAUCACUUCGAGUUUGCGAGUCUGUUCAGAAUAAGCAAGUUCUAAUGAGAGUUGUUGAAAUUUAAUGUGUCUUGAUUUCGGGAGUAACUGCCCUGUUCCUCACAAACCAUGAUUUGCCUUCAUCACAAAUGAGAUAUGCAGCAUUGAGCUUUGUGCGAUUUGUGCUCUUGCCUUUGGUGUGUCAUUG